RNAcentral lists this long non-coding RNA (1512 nucleotides) under Canis lupus familiaris (dog). RNAcentral's name for it is "lncRNA (ENSCAFG00040000737.1)". Lineage: Eukaryota; Metazoa; Chordata; Mammalia; Carnivora; Canidae. The record is from RNAcentral.
GCAGGACACGCACCCCCUAAGGCUGGCUGCGUGGCUGGAACCCAGAUUUCCGGGGUGGCCUCCGCGAUCACGUGCCCACAGCAGCCUGGCCAGCUCUCCGCCGCGACGACGUCCCCCAGGAGCUGCAUCACGGACACCUCCCUCGGUGGGCGGGGCGCGGCCUGGGAGAGCGAGUGCUCCCCCCUACCCCGCACCAGGCCACCCCAAGGCGCGGGGCUGAGAGCUGGCCGGGGAGAGGGCGGCCGGUUCCCUCAGGAGGGGGCAGGGGCGGGCAGGGGCACCCCUCCUCCUGCAGCCCCACGAGCCUCCCCGUGGCAGGUCCCCGGCCGGCUCCUCCCUUCUCAGACCCCACUUCAGGCGUCUUUGCCGCCGUCCCUUCCGCGUUCGCCACCCGUGUGUUUGGGGCACUUAGUGAUUCACAAACACUUUCAUGCCUGUGCCCGCCUCACACUCCGCGGGGCGAGGCUUCGGCCCGGUCCAGGCCCGGUGCCCCCGACGGCCCGCCGUCCAGCAGCCCUGGGGCGACGCAAAGCGCGCGUGAUCAGGACGGGGGGCGCAGCACGGGGAGGGCGCAGGGGCCUGGCAGGGGCUCCCCGAGUGGCCCUUGGGGCCUUCCCCAGCCAGGGGACCGGGCGGAGCUGGCUGCUGGGAGCCCAGGGAGUGGGGUGCAGAGCUCGGGCGGGGUGCGGGGGAGGCUCCGAUCCGCAGCAGUGGGCCCUGCGCAGGCCCAAGAGGGGACAGACCCCGGAUGACAGGAUGUCAGGGGCAGCCGGCGGCGUGAGGUGCCACAGCAGGAGGCCGGAGCGGCCCUUCCGUCCUGCUCGCCCGACAGCCCCUCAGGGCGGGCGGCACAGCCGCGGCUUUGCUCCAGGUGCCCGGGCUCUGCUGGGGGGCAGGGAGCGAAGGGCUCUGGGUGCGUGGGGCGCAGCCGGGUCAGCGGAGACAGAACUGCCCGUGUCCGGGGCGCUGGCCCUCACCCCGCCUGGCCUCCAGCAACCGGCCGGAGGUCCUGGAGGUCACGCCCUGCAGGCGAAGUCCUGUACGCGGGCUCAGCCGGUGGCGCUGGCCCUGGAUGCCAACCGCGCCCUCGAGGCCGCAGUGCCACCCGCGCCGUCCCAAGGCCGGUUUCUGCUCCGCUCCCUGAAUUCGAAGCUUAAGUGCCUUCAGAGUGCUUGGUUUUACUGCCCUGGAGGCAGGGCCCGAGUCCCCGGCAGGUCCCGGGCACCUGCAGGUGCCAGGGGGCCCUGCCUGAGGGGGCGACACCCUGGUGAGCCCACAGCCCUGCCCUCAGAGAGCCUGCGGCCCACCGCCGGGGCCAGAGCGGAAGCCGCAAGGGCCGGCCGACUGGGAGGGGGCUCCGGGGGUGAGGACUAUGGCAGGAUCCUGUGUCGCGCCUCCCCGCUUGUGCCCCACGGGGAGCGGGCCCCUAGGGGACACUCGUGCAUCCACGCUCACGGCCGCACAAUUCAUGGGAGCCGGACGUGGGAGCAGCCACGUGGCCACCGUGGAUGA